UACGUAGGGGCCUAGCGUUGUCCGGAUUUAUUGGGCGUAAAGAGCUCGUAGGCGGUUCGGCAAGUCGGAUGUGAAAUCUCCACGCUUAACGUGGAGGGGCCAUUCGAAACUGCCGUGACUCGAGUCCGGUAGGGGAGUGUGGAAUUCCCGGUGUAGCGGUGAAAUGCGCAGAUAUCGGGAGGAACACCCGCAGCGAAGGCGGCCGGCUGGGCCAACCCUGACGCUGAGGCGCGAAGGCUCGGGGAGCGAACGGG
Molecule: ribosomal RNA, 254 nt
Filed under: uncultured bacterium
Lineage: Bacteria
Description: partial 16S ribosomal RNA
Rfam family: Bacterial small subunit ribosomal RNA
Source: RNAcentral